UACGAAGGGGGCUAGCGUUGCUCGGAAUCACUGGGCGUAAAGGGUGCGUAGGUGGUUCUUUAAGUCUGCUGUGAAAGCCCCGGGCUCAACCUGGGAAUGGCAGUGGAUACUGGAGAGCUAGAGUGCGGUAGAGGGUAGUGGAAUUCCCGGUGUAGCAGUGAAAUGCGUAGAGAUCGGGAGGAACACCAGUGGCGAAGGCGGCUACCUGGACCAGCACUGACACUGAUGCACGAAAGCUAGGGGAGCAAACAGG
Molecule: ribosomal RNA, 253 nt
Filed under: uncultured bacterium
Lineage: Bacteria
Description: partial 16S ribosomal RNA
Rfam family: Bacterial small subunit ribosomal RNA
Source: RNAcentral